This 823-nucleotide ribosomal RNA is filed under the name uncultured Planctomycetota bacterium. Its description in RNAcentral is "bacterial SSU rRNA". It matches the Rfam family "Bacterial small subunit ribosomal RNA", at positions 67 to 896 of the family's 1533-position model. The record is from RNAcentral. Lineage: Bacteria; Pseudomonadati; Planctomycetota.
UGGUCGUUGUGUAGCAAUACAUGAUGGCCGGGAGUGGCGAAAGGGGCAGUAAUGUAUAGGUAACCUACCCUGGGGAUGGGGAUAGCCGUUCUAACGAGCGGGUAAUACCCAGCGAUUUGACGAGGAGGCAUCUCUUUGUCAAGAAAUGAGUUUCGCCUCGGGAGGGGCUUAUAUCGUAUUAGCUAGUUGGUGAGGUGAUGGCUUACCAAGGCAUAGAUGCGUAGCGGGUGUGAGAGCACGACCCGCGCCACUGGCACUGAGACACUGGCCAGACACCUACGGGUGGCUGCAGUCGAGGAUCUUCGGCAAUGAGCGCAAGCUUGACCGAGCGACGCCGCGUGGAUGAUGAAGGCCUUCGGGUUGUAAAGUCCUGUCGAGGGGGAUAAAAGCGUAAGCUUGAUUGAUCCCUGGAGGAAGGGCGGGCUAAGUUCGUGCCAGCAGCCGCGGUAAGACGAACUGCCCAAACGUUGUUCGGAAUCACUGGGCUUAAAGGGCGCGUAGGCGGCAUUCCAAGUCAGGGGUGAAAUCCGGCAGCUUAACUGUCGAAGUGCCUUUGAUACUGGAGUGCUCGAGGGAGGUAGGGGUCUGUGGAACUUCUGGUGGAGCGGUGAAAUGCGUUGAUAUCAGAAGGAACGCCGGUGGCGAAAGCGACGGACUGGACCUUUUCUGACGCUGAGGCGCGAAAGCUAGGGGAGCAAACGGGAUUAGAUACCCCGGUAGUCCUAGCCCUAAACGAUGAGUACUAGAUAGUAGACUAAUCAUGGGUUUACUGUCGAAGCAAAAGUGUUAAGUACUCCGCCUGGGGAGUAUGGUCGCAAGGCUG